UUCCGGGCCUUGUACACACCGCCCGCACACCACGAAAGUUGGCAAUACCCGAAGCCGGUGGCCUAACCCGCAAGGGAGGGAGCCGUCGAAGGUAGGGUCGAUGAUUGGGGUG
RNAcentral lists this ribosomal RNA (112 nucleotides) under uncultured bacterium. RNAcentral's name for it is "partial 16S ribosomal RNA". It matches the Rfam family "Bacterial small subunit ribosomal RNA", at positions 1372 to 1482 of the family's 1533-position model. The record is from RNAcentral.